This is a long non-coding RNA of Sinocyclocheilus grahami, 426 nucleotides long. RefSeq lists it as uncharacterized. Lineage: Eukaryota; Metazoa; Chordata; Actinopteri; Cypriniformes; Cyprinidae. The record is from RefSeq and is a predicted model, not a curated record. The transcript has 3 exons.
CAAAUGGGGAGAGUCGGACCCUCUUCCGUAUGCAGUUUAUGGACAUUGAAUUAUUUCACACAAAGGACUGGUCUAUGUGAUAGGUGGAAAAACUGAGAGCAAGAAAUGCCUGAGGAGAGUAUGUGUUUAUGACCCCUCUAAGUUUGAAUGGAAGGAUCUGGCACCCAUGAAAACUGCCCGUUCGCUGUUCGGCACAGCUGUUCACAAAAACAAAAUCUAUGUGGUGACUGGAGUCAUUGAUAACGGCCUGACUAACAGUGUGGAGAUCUAUGACAUCGCCAGCAACACCUGGUCAGAGUUCGUGGAGUUUCCCCAGGAGAGAAGCUCUCUUAACCUGAUUGAACUGGGCGGCUGCUUGUACGCUGUGGGGGGGUUUGCUAUGAUGCCCAAUGAGACCACAGAAAAACUGGAGCCCACUGAAAUGAA